GAUGAACGCUAGCGGCAGGCCUAACACAUGCAAGUCGAGGGGUAACAUAGAAAAGCUUGCUUUUCUGAUGACGACCGGCGCACGGGUGCGUAACGCGUAUACAACCUACCUUUUAGCGGGGAAUAGCCCAGGGAAACUUGGAUUAAUGCCUCAUAGUAUAUAAGCUUCUCCUGAAGUUUAUAUUAAACAUUUAUGGCUAUUAGAUGGGUAUGCGUCCUAUUAGUUAGUUGGUAAGGUAACGGCUUACCAAGGCAGCGAUAGGUAGGGGUCCUGAGAGGGAGAUCCCCACACUGGUACUGAGACACGGACCAGACUCCUACGGGGGGCAGCAGUGAGGAAUAUUGGACAAUGGGCGAGAGCCUGAUCCAGCCAUGCCGCGUGCAGGAAGACUGCCCUAUGGGUUGUAAACUGCUUUUACAGAGGAAGAACCACCCCCACGUGUGGGGGUUUGACGGUACUCUGCGAAUAAGGAUCGGCUAACUCCGUG
Molecule: ribosomal RNA, 487 nt
Filed under: uncultured bacterium
Lineage: Bacteria
Description: bacterial SSU rRNA
Rfam family: Bacterial small subunit ribosomal RNA
Source: RNAcentral